UUGUCUUUUAAAUUCGUGAACAAGUAAUUAUACAAUCGAAAUAUAAUAAAUGUGCAUAAAAAUUAAUAUAAAUGUAAUUGUGAAAUAAAUAUUUGAUGACCGUAGUUUGUUACUUGAGAGUCUUCUCGAUUAAUCUUCGUAAACCGAAAACGUCCGAAGUUAGCCGAAUCAGUAUAAGAGCGAGAAAGUGCGUAGAAUUGCCAGUUCAUUUUUCUCUUGACAUUUUCAAAAAAUUUGUUCAAUAUAAAUUAUUAUUUUCUCUUAAAUUCAUAAACAAGUAGUUAUAUAAUCGAAAUAUAAUAGAAAAAAUAUAAUAAGUGUGCGUAAAAAUUAAUAUAAACGUAUUUGUGAAAUAAAUAUAUGAUGACCGUAGUUCGUUACUUGAGAAUACUUCACUAAUCUUCGUAAAUCAAAAACAUUUGAAAUUAAUCGAACCAGUGUAAGAACGAAAAAGCAUGCAAAAUUAGCAAUUCAUUUUUCUCUUGAUAUUUUCAUCAAAUUUAUUUAAUAUUAAAUAUUAUUAUCUUUUAAAUUCGUAAACAAGUUCAUUUUUCUCUUGACAUUUUCGUCAAAUUUGUUUAAUAUAAACUAUUAUUAUCUUUUAAAUUCGUGAACAAGUAAUUAUACAAUCGAAAUAUAAUAAAUGUGCAUAAAAAUUAAUAUAAAUGUAAUUGUGAAAUAAAUAUUUGAUGACCGUAGUUUGUUACUUGAGAGUCUUCUUGAUUAAUCUUCGUAAACCGAAAACGUCCGAAGUUAGCCGAAUCAGUAUAAGAGCGGGAAAGUGCGUAGAAUUGCUAGUUCAUUUUUCUCUUGACAUUUUCAAAUAAUUUGUUCAAUAUAAACUGUUAUUGUCUUUUAAAUUCACGAACAAGUAGUUAUAUAAUCGAAAUAUAAUAGAAAAAAUAUAAUAAGUGUGCGUAAAAAUUAAUAUAAACGUAAUUAUGAAAUAAAUAUGUGGUGACCGUAGUUCGUCAUUUGAGAGUAUUCUCGACUAAUCUUUUUUUUUGUAAACCGAAAACGUCCGAAGUUAGCCGAACCAGUGUAAGAACGGGAAAGUGCGCAGAAGUACCAGCUCUUUUUUCUCUUAACAUUUUCAUUAAAUUUAUUCAAUAUUAAGUGUUAUUGUCUUUUAAAUUUGUGAAUAAGUAAUUAUAUAAUCGAAAUAUAAUAGAAAAAAUAUAAUAAGUGUGCAUAAAAAUUAAUAUAAAUGUAAUUGUGAAAUAAAUAUGUGGUGACCGUAGUUCGUCAUUUGAGAGAUUGUCAUCAAAAAUACAUAUUCAGCAGAAACAUUUUAAUGGCUGCCACUCGCGUCGACGCAGAACGAUUUUACGCCGCUUAUUUUGAGGGGAAAAUUGUGUUAUUAAGACGUCAACUUGAAUCAUCGUUUUCGCUGUAAUUUCGAAACAUUCGAGGGAGAAAUGGACCUUAAAAUAUCAAGCAAUAUAUAUCUCAAGAUAACAAGAAGCAAUAUAAUCAGAAGCAGAGGAGUUGAAUUGAGAGUCGAUCCAAUUAUUCAGACUUGAUCCUCGUCGUCUUGUGGAGGUCGCGAUGGCAUAAAUUCGUGCUUCCCGCUCGAACAUCGCCCGCGGCCGGAUAGUUGGCAAACGUGCUGUGUUUCCAUUUCCAUCCGCCAAGAUUCAGCCUCGAGGCGUGGAAGAGUCUCGCGGAACUUCCGCUGUAAACCAAAGGGGAAUUGGCCUUAGCUGGGUGGAAACUCGGAAAUUCUGUCUUUAGUCACGUAGCCGUGGGACGAUUCCCGUGGCUUUGUUAACCAGCCUGUCCUUGGACUCCUGAGAGGGACCUUGCCACGGAUACCGGAAACGGGGAAUACUAGUUGGGGAUUUGUUUCCAUUGCAGCUAUCUAUCGAAUUGGCUACUGAUCGCUCGAAACUGUUUGUAUUUGGACAUAGUUUCUGGACUUAAGAUCGAAGAAUUGGAUGGAAGAGAACAUUUGUACUAUCGAACGAUUUUCCCUUCGAAACAUAUUGAUAAAAAUAAGGAAGAGGAGGAAUCGAUAAAUUUGUGGAGGAAGAGGAAUCGAUAAAUUUGUGGAGGAAGAGGAAUUCAUAAAAAUAAGGAAGAGGAGGAAAUGAUAAAAAUAAGGAGGAGGAGGAAUUGAUAAAAAUAAGGAGAAGGAGGAAUUGAUAAAAAUAUGGAGGAGGAGGAAUUGAUAAAUUUGAGGUGAAAUUGAUAAAAGGAAUUGAUAAAAAUAAGGAAUUUUUUUUUCAAUGAGGAAAAAUAAUCUUUCGAUCAUGCGUCACUAAUGAAACGAUGAUAUUUUUGUAAAUCUUAUUCCCGAGCUGAGAGGAUAGAGCUUUUUAGUGCUAUAAAAAUAAAGAAAUUGUCUGUUAAUUUUUAAUUACAUUCUUGGUAAUUUUAAAAUUUACUAUGCUUGGCAAAUUGAAUAAUUUAUUUCGUGAGAAUUAUAAAAAUUUUUAAAAAUUUGUAUAUAAUUUGUUAUAUUUAUAAAAUGUAGAGAAUUAUGUUAUUAUUUAAAUAUAUAUUUUGUUUAAGGACAUAGUUUCUGGACUUAAGAUCGAAGAAUUGGAUGGAAGAGAACAUUUGUACUAUCGAACGAUUUUCCCUUCGAAACAUAUUGAUAAAAAUAAGGAAGAGGAGGAAUCGAUAAAUUUGUGGAGGAAGAGGAAUCGAUAAAUUUGUGGAGGAAGAGGAAUUCAUAAAAAUAAGGAAGAGGAGGAAAUGAUAAAAAUAAGGAGGAGGAGGAAUUGAUAAAAAUAAGGAGAAGGAGGAAUUGAUAAAAAUAUGGAGGAGGAGGAAUUGAUAAAUUUGAGGUGAAAUUGAUAAAAGGAAUUGAUAAAAAUAAGGAAUUUUUUUUUCAAUGAGGAAAAAUAAUCUUUCGAUCAUGCGUCACUAAUGAAACGAUGAUAUUUUUGUAAAUCUUAUUCCCGAGCUGAGAGGAUAGAGCUUUUUAGUGCUAUAAAAAUAAAGAAAUUGUCUGUUAAUUUUUAAUUACAUUCUUGGACAUAGUUUUUGGAUUUAAGAUCGAAGAAUUGGAUGGAAGACAACAUUUGUACUAUCGAACGAUUUUCCCUUCGAAACAUAUUGAUAAAAAUAAGAAAGAGGAGGAAUCGAUAAAUUUGUAGAGGAAGAGGAAUUCAUAAAAAUAAGGAAGAGGAAGAAUUGAUAAAAAUAAGGAAGAGGAGGAAUUGAUAAAAAUAAGGAGGAGGAGGAAUUGAUAAAAAUAAGGAGGAGGAGGAAUUUAUAAAAAUAUGGAGGAGGAGGAAUUGAUAAAAAUAAGGAGUAGGAAGAAUUGAUAAAAAUAUGGAGGAGGAGGAAUUGAUAAAUUUGAGGACAUAGUUUUUGGACUUAAGAUCGAAAAAUUGGAUGGAAGAGGACAUUUGUACUAUUGCACGAUUUUCCCUUCGAAACAUAUUGAUAAAAAUAAGGAAGAGGAGGAAUUGAUAAAAGGAAGUGGUAUCGAUAAAUUUGUGGAGGAAGACGAAUUGAUAAAUUUGUGGAAGAAGAGGAAUCGAUAAAUUUGUGGAGGAAGAGAAAUUGAUAAAAAUAAGGAGGAGGAGGAAUUGAUAAAAAUAUGGAGGAGGAGGAAUUGAUAAAAAUAUGGAGGAGGAGGAAUUGAUAAAAUUGAUAAAAGGAAUUGAUAAAAAUAAGGAGUUCUUUUCGAUGAGGAAGAAUAAUCUUUCGAUCAUGCGUCACUAAUGAAAAUGAUAAUAUUUUUAUAAAUCUUAUUGCCGAGCUGAGAGGAUAGAGCUUUUUAGUGCUAUAAAAAGAAAGAAAUUGUCUGUUAAUUUUUAAUUACAUUCUUGGUAAUUUUAAAAUUUGCUAUGCUUGGCAAAUCGAAUAAUUUAUUUCGACAUACUUUUUGGAUUUAAGUUCGGAGAAUUGGAUGGAAGAGAACAUUUGUUCUAUCGAACGAUUUUCCCUCUAAAAUAUAUUGAUAAAAAUAAGGAAGAAGAGGAAUCGAUAAAAAUACGUAGGAGAAAGAAUUGAUAAAAAUAAGAGAAGAAUUGAUAAAAAUAAGAAGCAGGAGGAAUUAAUAAAAAUAAGGAAGAGGAGGAAUUGAUAAAAAUAAGGAGGAAAAAUAAUUGAUAAAAUAUAAAAUUGUUGCAUUUUUUAAUUUUCUUACAAAAUAUUAAUGAAAUAUUUAAAUUUUGUCGAUAAUUUAAAAAAAGAAAGUAAAUUUAAUACUUGUGGCGCCAUCUCGCGUUUGGAUUCACGAAGCUCCGACUCGUUACUAGCAUAACAUGACAUGCAAGGAGGUAUGCGAAGUCAAAGAGAAGGAACGCAACAUUAUGCGAGAAGGACAGAGAACAUUUAAAAAUACGCCACAUGGAAAAAUCAUUAAUUACUCAUUUUCUACUGAAAUUUUCUGCACAUUUAAGCACGCAUCUUGUAGUCAGAGUCUGAAACAAGCUUCUUCUAUUAAUUUUAAUGUAAAAUUGUCGUUAAUUAUUUAAUUAUUAAUAAUUAUUGCAUCAUAUGUAAAUUAACGAUAUAGAAAUGCAACGCAUAUGAUGCAAUAAUUACUAAUAAUUAAAUAAUUAACAACAAUUUUAUAUUAAAAUUAACAGAAGAAGCUUGUUUGAGAUUCUGACUACAAGAUGCGUGCUUAAAAGUGCAGAAAAUUUUAGUAGAAAACGAGUAAUUAAUGAAUUUUCAGUAUGGCGUCUUUAAUGUAUUAGAACGUAUUAUGCGUUAAUCAUUAAUAAUUAAAUAAAUAAAAAGAAUUUUGCAUUAAAAUUAAUAUGAGAAAGUUGCCUGGAGUUCUAACAUUAAAAUGAGAGCCUAAAUAUAACGAAAUUUUAAGUAGAAAAAGAGUAAUUAAUGAUUUUUCCAUGUGGCGUAUUUUUAAAUGUUCUCUGUCCUUCUCGCACAAUGUUGCGUUCCUUUUCUUUGACUUCGCAUACCUCCUUGCAUAUCAUGUUAUGCUAGUAACGAGUCGGAGCUUCGUGAAUCUAAACGCGAGAUGGCGCCACAGGUAUAUUAUUUUCUUUCUUUUUUUAAAUUAUCGACAAAAUUUAAAUGUUUCAUUAAUAUUUUGUGAGAAAAUUAAGAAGCACCACAAUUUUAUAUUUUAUCAAUUAUUUUUCUUCCAAAACUUAUCAAUUCCUUCUUCUAAUUCUUCAGGUAAACAAUUUUAAAUAGAUAAAAAUAAGGAGGAGAAGGAAUCGAUAAAUUUGGGAUGGAAAAGGAAUUGAUAAAUAUAAGAAGGAAGAGGAAUUGAUAAAAAUAAAGAAGUGGUAAAAUUUGGGAAAAAAAGUAAUUGAUAAAAUAUAAAAUUCUUACACUUCUUAAUUUUCUCACUAAUUUUCUCAAGUAUUAAUGAAACAUUUAAAUUUUGUCGAUAAUUUAAAAAAAGAAAGAAAAUAAAUUUAAUAUCUGUGGCGCCAUCUCGCGUUUGGAUUCACGAAGCUCCGACUCGUUAC
Molecule: long non-coding RNA, 5405 nt
Organism: Apis cerana (Asiatic honeybee)
Lineage: Eukaryota; Metazoa; Arthropoda; Insecta; Hymenoptera; Apidae
Source: RefSeq, a predicted model, not a curated record